RNAcentral lists this ribosomal RNA (429 nucleotides) under Chloroflexota bacterium. RNAcentral describes it as "Chloroflexi bacterium partial 16S ribosomal RNA". It matches the Rfam family "Bacterial small subunit ribosomal RNA", at positions 355 to 776 of the family's 1533-position model. Lineage: Bacteria; Bacillati; Chloroflexota. The record is from RNAcentral.
UGGGGAAUAUUGCACAAUGGGCGCAAGCCUGAUGCAGCCAUGCCGCGUGUAUGAAGAAGGCCUUCGGGUUGUAAAGUACUUUCAGCGGGGAGGAAGGGAGUAAAGUUAAUACCUUUGCUCAUUGACGUUACCCGCAGAAGAAGCACCGGCUAACUCCGUGCCAGCAGCCGCGGUAAUACGGAGGGUGCAAGCGUUAAUCGGAAUUACUGGGCGUAAAGCGCACGCAGGCGGUCUGUCAAGUCGGAUGUGAAAUCCCCGGGCUCAACCUGGGAACUGCAUUCGAAACUGGCAGGCUAGAGUCUUGUAGAGGGGGGUAGAAUUCCAGGGGUAGCGGUGAAAUGCGUAGAGAUCUGGAGGAAUACCGGUGGCGAAGGCGGCCCCCUGGGCAAAGACUGACGCUCAGGUGCGAAAGCGUGGGGAGCAAACAGG